GUUUAUAUGGUGUAUGUUAGCACGUCAGGUUUUCAUCUUGAAGGGGUGAUGUUUGUCACUGUAAACU
Molecule: transfer RNA, 67 nt
Filed under: Modiolus metcalfei
Lineage: Eukaryota; Metazoa; Mollusca; Bivalvia; Mytilida; Modiolidae
Also listed under: 1 other name
Description: tRNA-Glu
Rfam family: tRNA
About the family: Transfer RNA (tRNA) molecules are approximately 80 nucleotides in length. Their secondary structure includes four short double-helical elements and three loops (D, anti-codon, and T loops). Further hydrogen bonds mediate the characteristic L-shaped molecular structure. tRNAs have two regions of fundamental functional importance: the anti-codon, which is responsible for specific mRNA codon recognition, and the 3' end, to which the tRNAs corresponding amino acid is attached (by aminoacyl-tRNA synthetases). tRNAs cope with the degeneracy of the genetic code in two manners: having more than one tRNA (with a specific anti-codon) for a particular amino acid; and 'wobble' base-pairing, i.e. permitting non-standard base-pairing at the 3rd anti-codon position.
Source: RNAcentral